Molecule: ribosomal RNA, 404 nt
Filed under: Pseudomonas sp.
Lineage: Bacteria; Pseudomonadati; Pseudomonadota; Gammaproteobacteria; Pseudomonadales; Pseudomonadaceae
Also listed under: 3 other names
Description: partial 16S ribosomal RNA
Rfam family: Bacterial small subunit ribosomal RNA
Source: RNAcentral
UGGGGAAUAUUGGACAAUGGGCGCAAGCCUGAUCCAGCCAUGCCGCGUGAGUGAUGAAGGCCCUAGGGUUGUAAAGCUCUUUCACCGGUGAAGAUAAUGACGGUAACCGGAGAAGAAGCCCCGGCUAACUUCGUGCCAGCAGCCGCGGUAAUACGAAGGGGGCUAGCGUUGUUCGGAUUUACUGGGCGUAAAACGCACGUAGGCGGACUUUUAAGUCAGGGGUGAAAUCCCGGGGCUCAACCCCGGAACUGCCUUUGAUACUGGAAGUCUUGAGUAUGGUAGAGGUGAGUGGAAUUCCGAGUGUAGAGGUGAAAUUCGUAGAUAUUCGGAGGAACACCAGUGGCGAAGGCGGCUCACUGGACCAUUACUGACGCUGAGGUGCGAAAGCGUGGGGAGCAAACAGG